UGGGGAAUAUUGGGCAAUGGGGGAAACCCUGACCCAGCAACGCCGCGUGAAGGAAGAAGGCCUUCGGGUUGUAAACUUCUUUUACCAGGGACGAAGAACGUGACGGUACCUGGAGAAAAAGCAACGGCUAACUACGUGCCAGCAGCCGCGGUAAUACGUAGGUUGCAAGCGUUGUCCGGAUUUACUGGGUGUAAAGGGCGUGUAGGCGGAGGAGCAAGUCAGAUGUGAAAUCCCGGGGCUUAACCCCGGAACUGCAUACUAAACUGGUGGACUAGAGUAUUGCAGGGGGAGACGGAAUUCCAGGUGUAGCGGUGGAAUGCGUAGAUAUCUGGAAGAACACCAAAGGCGAAGGCAGUCUCCUGGGCAAAUACUGACGCUCAUAUGCGAAAGCGUGGGUAGCAAACAGGAUUAGAUACCCUGGUAGU
This 425-nucleotide ribosomal RNA is filed under the name uncultured Clostridium sp. RNAcentral's name for it is "bacterial SSU rRNA". It matches the Rfam family "Bacterial small subunit ribosomal RNA", at positions 355 to 794 of the family's 1533-position model. Lineage: Bacteria; Bacillati; Bacillota; Clostridia; Eubacteriales; Clostridiaceae. The record is from RNAcentral.